RNAcentral lists this ribosomal RNA (460 nucleotides) under uncultured bacterium. RNAcentral's name for it is "partial 16S ribosomal RNA". It matches the Rfam family "Bacterial small subunit ribosomal RNA", at positions 338 to 795 of the family's 1533-position model. The record is from RNAcentral.
CCUACGGGAGGCAGCAGUGGGGAAUAUUGCUCAAUGGACGAAAGUCUGAAGCAGCGAAGUAGCGUGAAGGAUGACUGCCCUCUGGGUUGUAACCUUCUUUUGUAGGGAAAUAGACUGUUCCACGUGUGGGCUUUUGUAUGUACCCUAUGGGUAAGGAACGGCUAACUCCGUGCCGGCCGCCGCGGUAAUACGGAGGGUCCGAGCGUUAUCCGGAUUUAUUGGGUUUAAAGGGAGCGUAGGUGGAUUGUUAAGUCAGUGGUGAAAGUUUGCGGCUCAACCGUAAAAUUGCAGUUGAAACUGGCAGUCUGGAGUAUAGUAGAGGAGGGUGGAAUUCGAGGUGUAGCGGUGAAAUGCGUAGAUAUCACGAAGAACACCGAUUGCGAAGGCAGCUAACUGGAACGCAACUGACACUGAGGAGCGAAAGCGUGGGUAUCAAACAGGAUUAGAUACCCGAGUAGUC